Long non-coding RNA from Schistocerca serialis cubense, 351 nucleotides. RefSeq lists it as uncharacterized. NCBI's taxonomy places the organism in Eukaryota, Metazoa, Arthropoda, Insecta, Orthoptera, Acrididae. The transcript is spliced from 3 exons. The record is from RefSeq and is a predicted model, not a curated record.
GAAGGGCUUGGAUAUGAUAUUCUUAGUGGAGACUCAGUGUUGAUGGACGUUGCUGGUAAUGUUUGGGUAGUGGAAUUAUUGACAACUACUGUAUAUAAUUUUUGGAACUGGAUCUCACAUGAAUAAGGUCGCCCAGGUAUUUCCAGAGCAAAAUACGAGGAUUUAAUGAGGCUCAUGAAGUACUGUAAUCAGAGGGCAGUGAAGUUUCGCUAUGCAUUUUCAAAUGACUGAUAAUUUGGAACACAACUGAGACUUAUCUGGUUUCUUUCCCGAAAAAUUGGUAGUUUGAGUGCAUUUUCUAUUUAGUUUCGUAUUAUGGGUGUUACACAGAUUGAAAAACCAACUUAUCUG